UUAUGACAGUGGAAGCUAAACCAAAUAUUUUUCAGUCACACUAAGACAAAACUAAGUUUUAGGGCUUAAUAAUCCUCCCUUAAUUCCAGUUAGAGGAACAAACCAAGAUACUGAGAGAGUAACGCUAGUCAUCACGCAAACAGUGACCAGAGCCAGGCCGUACAUAAGGAAAGCAGCAUGGAAACCAGAACACAUAUGAAGGAUGAUCCCACUGGAGAAAAUAAGGAUUAGGAACUAUAUGUGAAUGCCAACCAUCCAGUGCAUGAAUGGCUAUGAAAACUUUAAAGGAAAGAGAAAGAAUCACAAGGAACAUAUCGAAUAACUAUUAAAGCUGCAAAACAUAUUUCCUCCAAAUUUUUAAAACCACUAAAUCACACGUUAUGUACUCGUGCAAAUAAAAUCUUGAAUCUUAAGAAAACCGGCUCUCU
This is a non-coding RNA of Microcebus murinus (gray mouse lemur), 428 nucleotides long. NCBI's taxonomy places the organism in Eukaryota, Metazoa, Chordata, Mammalia, Primates, Cheirogaleidae. The record is from RefSeq and is a predicted model, not a curated record.